GGCCGACGCACGGGCGCCCACACGCACGGUGAGGCCUGUGAUCAUCGGCGUAAUCUAAUCUUCAGACCACGUAAACAACGACCAGUUUACCUGCCGGGUCCGUAUUCUGUAUACUGAAGCCCGGCCCAUGCUUCUGCGUCUGCGUCUGCGUCGUGUGUUGCAGAGCAAUUCACCUCCUGAACAAUAGGUGUAAAUGAUAACAAACACCAACAAAGGGAAGAGUUUAACAAAUGCCUUCGAAGGCUGAACCCGUUUCUGGUGGUGCAGAGCCGUCUUGUGGAAGAAUCACCUUAUGGCAUUAUAGAAAACAGAAGGUGUGACAUGCCCACCAUAAAUGUAGUAACGUCAGUAGUUACACGUGAGUAAAUACAGCCGCCUAGUGGAGCGGCCACACGAGGCUCGCUUCACUUCAUGGAGAGAACCCGCCGUUGUUGGUCGCAGCUGAAUUCCUCCUGGAAGAGCCUUCGGACAUUAUUCGUCUGCCUGAUUCGGAUCACAGUAAAGCUGUUACCGUAUUUUAUGUCACAGCAAUUUCAAGUCUUGGUGUCCCUCUGGUGGACAAAAGACAAAAACAGAACAACACAAGGUGAUCUGUGUUCAUCCUCACUGGCACGUUUUUUGCAAGGGGCUGUGAUUUAUUCACGCAAUGAAAGGCUUCAGUCAAGAUAAAAACAUCAUAACAAGAAAGUCUUUUGUUUUUG
This is a long non-coding RNA of Gasterosteus aculeatus aculeatus (three-spined stickleback), 701 nucleotides long. NCBI's taxonomy places the organism in Eukaryota, Metazoa, Chordata, Actinopteri, Perciformes, Gasterosteidae. The record is from Ensembl.